UGACGGAGCACGCCGCGUGAGUGAUGAAGGUUUUCGGAUCGUAAAACUCUGUUGUUAGGGAAGAACAAGUACCGUUCGAAUAGGGCGGUACCUUGACGGUACCUAACCAGAAAGCCACGGCUAACUACGUGCCAGCAGCCGCGGUAAUACGUAGGUGGCAAGCGUUGUCCGGAAUUAUUGGGCGUAAAGCGCGCGCAGGCGGUUUCUUAAGUCUGAUGUGAAAGCCCCCGGCUCAACCGGGGAGGGUCAUUGGAAACUGGUGAACUUGAGUGCAGUAGAUGAGAGUGGAUUAGCCGGGUACCGUGCACUUGUGUGGAGAUGA
Molecule: ribosomal RNA, 322 nt
Filed under: Bacillus licheniformis
Lineage: Bacteria; Bacillati; Bacillota; Bacilli; Caryophanales; Bacillaceae
Description: bacterial SSU rRNA
Rfam family: Bacterial small subunit ribosomal RNA
Source: RNAcentral